GAACGCUGGCGGCGUGCUUAACACAUGCAAGUCGAACGAGAAUCUGCGGAAAGAGGAUUCGUCCAAUAGAAGCAGAGGACAGUGGCGGACGGGUGAGUAACGCGUGAGGAACCUGCCUUUCAGAGGGGGGACAACAGUUGGAAACGACUGCUAAUACCGCAUGACACAUUGAGGUCGCAUGGCCUUAAUGUCAAAGAUUUAUCGCUGAAAGAUGGCCUCGCGUCUGAUUAGCUAGUUGGUGAGGUAACGGCCCACCAAGGCGACGAUCAGUAGCCGGACUGAGAGGGUGACCGGCCACAUUGGGACUGAGACACGGCCCAAACUCCUACGGGAGGCAGCAGUGGGGAAUAUUGCACAAUGGGCGAAAGCCUGAUGCAGCGACGCCGCGUGAGCGAAGAAGUAUUUCGGUAUGUAAAGCUCUAUCAGCAGGGAAGAUAAUGACGGUACCUGACUAAGAAGCACCGGCUAAAUACGUG
RNAcentral lists this ribosomal RNA (476 nucleotides) under uncultured bacterium. Its description in RNAcentral is "bacterial SSU rRNA". It matches the Rfam family "Bacterial small subunit ribosomal RNA", at positions 31 to 507 of the family's 1533-position model. The record is from RNAcentral.